Notolabrus celidotus (New Zealand spotty) is the source of this 404-nucleotide long non-coding RNA. RefSeq lists it as uncharacterized. NCBI's taxonomy places the organism in Eukaryota, Metazoa, Chordata, Actinopteri, Labriformes, Labridae. The record is from RefSeq and is a predicted model, not a curated record. The transcript is spliced from 2 exons.
UUCAUCAUGCAAGGCUCACUGGUGCACAGAGCGCUGCGAGCAGGAGUGAAAAUGACGAGGAAGAUUUAAAGGACGACAUCUGCUGCUACUUGCCACACCCAUCCCAUCACAGUUAGUGGACACAGCAUAGUUUACUAUCCAAACCAGCCUCUUCCUGCUGUCCUGAAUUCACAUCAUAUCCAAUAUCCUGCCCAACUACUACUAUGGGAUAUUUAAUAAUUCAUAAGUCUAUCUGGUGUCACAUAAAAUGAAUCUCCUACAGCAUUCAACUCUGUUUGUUAUCCUCUCGGUCUGCUCUGUCUGGGCUGGAUUCAGCUCAGCAUACGUAUGGGACUCGUGAUGACAUCACAGCAGCUCAAUUGGGAGUAGCUCCCUUUGUCUAAAAUUAAAACAGGUAAAGCCUC